GAUGUCUGCCUCCAUGGUAUAGCGGUGUGUGUUGUCAACGAGACGAGUGUCAGAAUUUGCAACACAAACUGUUACAGCUAGAAGAUGUGUUCUUUCAGCUGCAUACAUAGACCCAUAAAAAUGGGAUCAAAGGCCAAAAACUCCUCAAAACCUAGCUGAGUUAGCGACUCUAAUGGACAUGACUUAUGAGAAGAAGCUUCCCGUCAGCUCCUUAACAAUAGCCCGGUUUGUUAACAAUAUUUCCUCAAGAGAAGAAAUUGAUCAAGCUGAGUACUAUCUUUAUAAGGAAUCUGAACAGAAGACUGAGGAAUGAAGGCACUGUGGUUCACUGAAAAAAUAUCGGGACACUGAAUCCCAACUCAUGCCCAGUUUUCUGACAGUCAUGGAAAACAGCUGCAGUUCAGAGAUUCAUUCCAGGCUAAAAGUUCCCAGGGCUAAAUCAUACUGCAGAUUUCAACAGCGGACCAGUCUUAAAAAUAAAUAAAUAAAUACUAUUCCUCAUGAUUUGAAAGUUCAGAGACUUAGUCUGAAGCAGAAUCCAUAAAGAGUAUUCCAAAUAUACAAUUCCAAGUAGUUUUGGUAAUUCCUUUCCAUUGUGAAAUCAGGACUGAGGAUUGAGGGAUAAGGAUGUGGUUUAAUGCACUGCAUUGCAUUCAUGCAAAUCUGUACUGGAGCCAAGAAUCAAAGCAUAGUCUGUAUGUGGGGGGUGCAUUUGCACCCCUUUUCCCCAUUAGGGUGUAUUUCAAACGGUUUUAUUGUGUUUCUUUAGGUAUAUACUGUUCUAGAGCUCUAAAUUGUCAAUAUCCCAGGGUCGUCUUUGUCUUUAAGGACUUUUUGGAGACAUUUUUCAGUGAUUUCCCUAAGGUCUGUUCUGUGUUCACUACUUUUGUUAUAUACAUUAUCUGAAUGGUGCCAGCAGUGAUUUCUUCAAUUGUAUCAAACACACUUGCAUACAGAUUAUACAGUUGCUUGCUCGAGUGGUAAAUUGCUGGAUAUAAUGCAAAUAUGUCAGAAAACAGAUCUACUGUAAGUACUGUCCAAAGUGCUUGUGUGCUUAGUGUUAGAGCUAUGCAGUAUGGUACAGUGUGGAAAUCACAUUGUUAAACUAUAUUCAAUAUUUAACUGUUUGGAAAGUCAAGUAGAAAAAUGUUUCGUCAGAUGUAUUCAUCAGUGUUACGAUGGUGUUACCUUUAGAAUGCAGAAGUUUAUGAUUGUAGAUAAUUUUUUUUUUGUAUAUAUUUGGAAGUGUUUUUAAUAUUACAGUGCUGAACUAGGAUUGAUUAUAUAAAUUUACAAUGCUUAAACCAGUGUUUUGCAUAAUUAGAAGAUUAUGACCGUUUUGGUAUUAAACACCAAUAAUGAGGUACUUCCUAAAAUAAAAGGAAGCCACAGGAAACAGCCAGAGGCCAGCUAUGUCAGAACCAUGAUGCUGUUUAGGCAUUUAUUCUAGUUACACUGUAUAUCAAUGCAGAUUAAUAUAGAGUAAAACCACUGUUAGUUAGUUGCUGUAAACUUCAACGUUAAAUGAAAAAGGGGGCAGUUGCUAAAUUGAAUGUAAAUUCUUUGAAAAUAUGGCCCUCUGUUUUUCGAUCUAUUGCGCUAAAUGGGCAAGCACAUCACAAACACCUGUGUGAGAAGGUUUGGUAUGUGUUUAUAGAAGCAAGGAGCAAAAUAUUCCCUUCCUAUCGAUAGUGUUACUGAAGCAGCCACUAAGUUAUGAAUAAAGUUUAAUGUCUGGGUUUUAAAUCAUAGCUAUAAAUCUGAUUGCACUCACAGCAAGAGUGCAUCACAAGGUUCUGGAGGAAAUCAUAGGUCUGUGUUGUUAUAGCAACAGCAGUUCACCCCAUCAGACUGUUCACUUCUCUCAGCCUAUCAGGGGCUGAAUUAAGACACUGGAUUAUUGAUGACAUUCCGUGGGUUUAAACUAGUGUAGUCUUCCCAGGUUUUGAAAAUUUGAUUGCAGUGUGAAUAUUCUUUAGAUUAAACGUAGGGGUCUUAAAUACAGUAAUACAGAAUUUUACAGAAUUUUGAAAAAGUGCUUUCAUACUUCUACCCGGCUAUUUCUACCAUGCAAUCUAAAGAAGGGGGAAGAUGAAACGUUGUAGCUAAUUAUUCAAAUAGUGACUUAUUAGUUUAUCAAUGACUUUUCUUCCUUAAGUAUUUCUAGUGAUUGACUAGUGUCCUGUUGGGUCCUCAUUCUCCUUGGAUAUAGAGCCGUGUGUGUGUGUGUGUGUAUACAUUAUAUAUAUAUAUAUAUAUAUAUAUAUAUAUAUAUAU
This is a long non-coding RNA of Polyodon spathula (Mississippi paddlefish), 2277 nucleotides long. RefSeq lists it as uncharacterized. The record is from RefSeq and is a predicted model, not a curated record. The transcript has 5 exons. NCBI's taxonomy places the organism in Eukaryota, Metazoa, Chordata, Actinopteri, Acipenseriformes, Polyodontidae.